Molecule: long non-coding RNA, 3694 nt
Organism: Tupaia belangeri chinensis (Chinese tree shrew)
Lineage: Eukaryota; Metazoa; Chordata; Mammalia; Scandentia; Tupaiidae
Exons: 2
Source: RefSeq, a predicted model, not a curated record
ACUAAAUAAUUAUUUUAAAAAUACUCAAGAAGGGGCUGGAACCAAUGGGGAGAAUGGCUGUCCUUUUGGGGCUGGGCAGCCUGCUCUUCUCGCACCUGUUCUGGGUGCAGGAAUCCCAGUCGUGUGAAGUCUUCCUUUUGUGUAAAUUGACACAUGUGAAGACGUAAGGCAGCUCCCAGGACAGAGACAGUACCUUUAGGAAAAGACAGGAUCAGAAACCUGAGGUACACUUGGUUCUAAUUCCAUGCAGUUCUUUGAUAGUCACUCUUGUUCUGUCGCUGUUCGGUACAGAGGGAGCCCGCAUCGGAAAGUAACACGGAGCAGGGGACGCACAGUGCAGACCACAAAGGAAAAGGAGGGGGUUCAUUUUGAGAGUUGGCCACAAAAAGGAAAUUGAUUUGCUCCAAAUUGAUAGGAACUCAAAUGAUCAAACAAUCCAAGAGGGCCUCCCCACUUCCAGACCUGAGAAGCGGUCACUCGGUGUGGGGAAUCGCCUGGGUGCGAAGAUCAAUAGAGACAUCUUCCCAGUAGCUUGCACAUGCUGGCUGGGGUUCCGGCUGGCCCAGAACCAUUGGAGAACCCUGUCUCUGGGUCACGUGAUCCCGAGUGCUGGGAAGUGGCUCUGGAGGGCAGGCCUGGGAUUCUGCCCGAAGCUUCCUUGAGUGGCCUUGCCAUCUGCUCAGGGUUUGGCCCUAGUGUGAAAUCCUGCCAUUGUGCCUGGCCACAUGACAGCUAACAAAGCCUUAACCCAGCUCUUUUGGGUAACCCCGGUUCUUAGAACAAUGAUUUUCGAGCUCUCCUCUCCUGCCACCUGUCCCUGAGAAAUGCUCCAGGUUCCACAAGGGCCCACUUAGCCUAGCUCAUUCCAAUCCGAACAGGCAUUUGAGUACCAGCUGUACCAUGCAAACAAGCAGGCUAACAUGACGGACGUGCCAGUCUGUGAGGUUGGUAACACUGGUGGCGAGUAUACUGGGCCAUUUGUUCUGUGAAACUGGCAAGGAAAAAAUCUUGCUGCCUGAGAAGGCAGUAAAUUCAUCCCGACAGUACACAUUCAAGUCUUGAGAAGACCGCCACAUCGUUCUGGUGCGCGUCUUACAGAGUCGAAGAGGCAAGUAACUGGGACUUAACACAUCAACUCCGUUCACAGGAGGUGAGGGAGGAACGUGCUCGUACGACACAAAUGAAGGAUGGGAAUGAAGACACGGAAUAUGCCCCAGCAGCUGGUGAUUCAGCUGGGCUGUGGUCCAGAAGGGCAGUGGUAGAGGCAAGUGGCCAUUUCACUGUCCAUCAUACUCCCCUACCAGCCCUGCGUGGGACCCACUGGGACGCUAAUGCCACCCUGCCAUUCUCCCGUCAUGGCCAACUCAAGACCUCGAACCACCUUUUGGAAAUUAUUGAUAGUUACGGGCUUAGACUGGGAUGGCAGACAAAAUGUCCCUCCCAUGCCGAUUUUCAGUCAGGCGGUCAUCACUGCUACAAGUCCUGUGCUAAGGAGCUCCAGCUCCAUCAGCAGGAGGGAAUCUGGCGCUCUCAAAACCACGUGAGCAAGAACUGAACGAACUGAAAAGUCAGUGUUGAAUGUUGGACCAAAAGAAGACGGAGCAUUUCUAUUCCGAGGAGUAAUAAGCCAGAGAUCUGCGGUACAGUGAUCUGAAAUCGAAGGAUGAAAAAUAUACCUUCCGAAGUCCUUGUCGAGCCCUAUGACCUUUGAAUUGACUAAGCCUCGUCCUUAAACUUCUUAUUAUGGGAUGACACAAUAGUUUGGCAUUUUGUCAUGCCAUAUAUAUGCACCUAUAUAUUUUUUUCUUUGCUUUUGUAAAUCUUUCUGCUACUCCCAACUAGAAGAAAAGAGGUUGACUUUGUGGGUUUUGGCAGGAAGGAGACUAAAUACUAUGAUGUCAGUUUUUGAAACCAACCCAUGAGCCCCCUGCAGAAACUCUAGAUCUGUUCCUCUUAGGACAUCAAAUAAUUCUCUUUUUGCUUCUAAGGUAGUCCCAUGAUUUUAUUUCUUAAGAAAUGAGAAAUUUUACAGCUUCUGAACUAUUUGUCCAUCCACUCGGUCAUCUGCCCAUGCAGGAGCUUCCACGAUCAAGUCGAAAUCACAAUGUAUACACUGGGCUUCAGGGCAGAACGCACAUCCUCAGAUGAUUGUGGUCGUACACAGACACUUAGGGAGUAACAACUAAGAUGAACACCAGGGAGCUCCCAAAUGGCAGUUCCAUUUUCAUUCCUUCAUUAAAAUCAUAAAGCCCAUAAAACUCAUGGUUAGCAAUAAACACAAUCAUUGUGCUACAUCGUAAACCACACCUUCUGAUCAACAGAAAAUGAGAAUGGUAAUAUUAUAAAAUAAAAAUAACAAUAAUGCCAUAACUUAAGAUCGUUCAUGUAGUCCAGCUACAGAAUUUAUACAAAAUGGAUAAUUUAAUGCAAACAAUACUGCUUUAUGGAUAAGUUAAACAUUUUCCUUCAUUCUACCUAAGAGCCAUAAAUUAAAGACACUAAAUUUUAAAUCAACGUAGCAACAUAAAAUGUAAACAACUGGAGGGAUCAAACAAGCAAAAGGAACUGCUCUGAAUUCCCUCCUGUCUUUCCUUUUUGGCUGAUGCAAUCAGUAAAACCCAGCAGAGGGAAAAUAUUUUCGUCUGCACUGGAAAUAGUUUAAUACCUGUAUGUGUAGGUCUUUCAUAACAUCCACCAUGAAGCAGUGCCAGAGUCUAGCCAGUCUAGAUGGACUAUUUGACAGUAACCUCUCUCAAGACAGAGACAGGAACUAAGUCAACAUUUGUCUGUAUAUAAAAUGCUAGAUAAAAACUCUUAAAGCCAAGGUACCACGAAUACCCUGGGUGCUGUUCAGAGCCCAUAACUCUGGAGACAGGACAGAAGGCCUGCUUUUGACGAUGUAAACUCUUCCCAAUCCCUGCUCAGCACCAGCUCUUUCCACACAUUUUCAAAUCCAAUGAUUCAAACUGCAUUGAUUUGGGGUAAAGUAAAACACAUUUCGCAAGUAGCAUUUAACAAACAUGUUAUGUGGUGAAAGAGGAGUUGCCUUUUGCAAGCUGCUAAUCUUGUUUUUAUUCUGACAGUGGUAGCCAGUCAACAAAGCUUCCAGGAUAGAACGAGUUAAUGGAUGAAAUCAAAGGAAUGGUUUGAGAUUCAACACUGGACAUACACACACACACACACACACACACACACGCGCACGCACAUCCUAGCUGCCUUCAAAGUCUGUCCCCGUUUGAAUCAAUGUGACUCUAGUAGACAAGCAACCUGGUUCCAGAGGAGUGGUUCCAUCUUCCUGUGCAGCUGAGCGGAGCCAUCCUGAGAGUGUGCUUGACAAACCCCACACUCGCUCUCCUAACACUGUGGUAGGUGCUCUUUUCCUCUUACCCUUCCUCCUCCUCAGCACCCCUCCCACCCUUUCCUUCCUAAAGGAAGUGGUCAACAGGUGGAAAGGAAAAUAAGCCACAAGAAAAUGGCACUUGAGUCUGAAAUAUCAACACAUUGGUCAAAGGAACACAUUUGUCAAGGUACUGACAAUGAUAGCAUUAAAAAGGGAAGUUUUGUCAAUGACGAGGUUUGAUGCUAUCUGUAGGCUUCACUACCAAAUGCUGCUUAAAAUUUUAAAAAUGAAGUCAACGUUCAUGUAUACAGUUUUUUUUUUCCUCCUAGAGGAAGCGCUUGCCCUCAGAGACUG